CUGCAACCUCCUCAUCGAGAUGACCUGUACCUUCGUGAGCCGUGAGGGUGUGAUGAAGGGGCUGCAAGGAGAAACCCAAGAGAUCUUGGGAAGAAUCAGGCUGAGCAUUUCCACCGUGGAGAAGUUCUUCCAGUCCUACAGCACUUACUGCUCUGACCCGAUUCCCACCUUGCUCCAGGAGGAGCUACAGCUCUGGAAACUUCCUCCCUUCCUUCUGUUCAGGAGAAUGGACUCCUUCUUGCAGAG
Cuculus canorus (common cuckoo) is the source of this 246-nucleotide long non-coding RNA. RefSeq lists it as uncharacterized. NCBI's taxonomy places the organism in Eukaryota, Metazoa, Chordata, Aves, Cuculiformes, Cuculidae. The transcript has 3 exons. The record is from RefSeq and is a predicted model, not a curated record.